UUUUUAAUUGGGGACUGGAAUGAAUGGUUGGAUAGGGAAAAUCUAUUUCAUUGUUGGGGGAUAAAAUUAAUUACCAAGUGAAAAGGCUUGGAUUUGUAAAGUGACGAGAAGACCCUAAGAUUUUUACUAAUGAGUUCGGAGUUGUUGUUUGUGAAUAAGUUAGUUUUGCUGGGGCGGCAAAUUUUGUAACAAAAAGAGUAAGAACCUAAAUGGGGGGACGAGGGAUUAAUUAUCUUGUGUGGAUUGUAAAAUAAGUUACCUUAGGGAUAACAGCAUAAUCUUUUUUGAGAGACCACAUUGACGAAGGGGUUUGUGACCUCGAUGUUGGAUUUAGAUACCAGCGUUUUGCAGAAGGAAUGUGAGGGGGACUGUUCGUCCUUGAUAAUCUAACGUGAUCUGAU
This 401-nucleotide ribosomal RNA is filed under the name Cylindroleberididae sp. korea251. RNAcentral describes it as "partial large subunit ribosomal RNA". The stretch from base 74 to 401 matches the Rfam family "Bacterial large subunit ribosomal RNA", at positions 2049 to 2609 of the family's 2925-position model. Lineage: Eukaryota; Metazoa; Arthropoda; Ostracoda; Myodocopida; Cylindroleberididae. The record is from RNAcentral.